RNAcentral lists this small RNA (76 nucleotides) under Salmonella enterica subsp. enterica serovar Typhimurium. Its description in RNAcentral is "isrK". It matches the Rfam family "isrK Hfq binding RNA". The record is from RNAcentral. Lineage: Bacteria; Pseudomonadati; Pseudomonadota; Gammaproteobacteria; Enterobacterales; Enterobacteriaceae.
GCUGCAGCAAAAUCUGCAGCCGGGCGUAGGAACCCGUUUAACCAGACGACGCACAACACGCGCCAGCGUGUUUUUU